RNAcentral lists this transfer RNA (72 nucleotides) under Deltaproteobacteria bacterium CG11_big_fil_rev_8_21_14_0_20_49_13. Its description in RNAcentral is "tRNA-Ala". It matches the Rfam family "tRNA". Rfam says of the family: Transfer RNA (tRNA) molecules are approximately 80 nucleotides in length. Their secondary structure includes four short double-helical elements and three loops (D, anti-codon, and T loops). Lineage: Bacteria; Deltaproteobacteria. The record is from RNAcentral.
GGGGAAGUAGCUCAGCGGGAGAGCACCUGGUUUGCAUCCAGGGGGCCGUGGGUUCAAAUCCCAUCUUCUCCA